CCUACGGGGGGCAGCAGUGGGGAAUAUUGGGCAAUGGGCGCAAGCCUGACCCAGCAACGCCGCGUGAAGGAAGAAGGCUUUCGGGUUGUUAACUUCUUUUCUCAGGGACGAAGCAGGUGACGGUACCUGCGGAAUAAGCCACGGCUAACUACGUGCCAGCAGCCGCGGUAAUACGUAGGUGGCAAUCGUUCUCCGGAUGUACUGGGUGUAAAGGGAGUGUAGGCGGGACUGCAAGUCAGAUGUGAAAACCAUGGGCUCAACCUGUGGCCUGCAUUUGAAACUGGAGGUCUUGAGUACUGGAGAGGCAGACGGAAUUCCUAGUGUAGCGGUGAAAUGCGUAGAUAUUAGGAGGAACACCAGUGGCGAAGGCGGUCUGCUGGACAGCAACUGACGCUGAGGCGCGAAAGCGUGGGGAGCAAACAGGAUUAGAUACCCGAGUAGUC
RNAcentral lists this ribosomal RNA (443 nucleotides) under uncultured bacterium. RNAcentral describes it as "partial 16S ribosomal RNA". It matches the Rfam family "Bacterial small subunit ribosomal RNA", at positions 338 to 795 of the family's 1533-position model. The record is from RNAcentral.